Panicum virgatum (switchgrass) is the source of this 1191-nucleotide long non-coding RNA. RefSeq lists it as uncharacterized. Lineage: Eukaryota; Viridiplantae; Streptophyta; Magnoliopsida; Poales; Poaceae. The record is from RefSeq and is a predicted model, not a curated record. The transcript is spliced from 4 exons.
GGUAAGCGGUGCGGUGGAGCGGCGGCGGCAGCUCCUCCAGGCACGGCGGCGGAGCAGCAGCGGGAGGAGCCGGUGGAGCGGCGGCGGCAGCUCCUCCAAGCACGGCGGCGGAGCAAGAGCGGGGGCAACCGGCGAGGCGCGGGACGACAUGCCAGAGGGACUGCGGGUUGAUUUUCCAUUAGUACAAGGGUUUUUUAUUGCAAAAGUUUUAGGAUUUACACGAUCUGGACCAUCUGUCCAUCUGUGCCCGAUCGAACGGCCGGGAAAAGCGGGCGACGUGGCCAUGCUGACCGGCCAGUUUUUGUUGCGUGAAUCGUAUUUUAAAGACUAGAAAUGCUCGCGGGCGUUGCCGCGUAUGGCCAGUGUGCGGGCUGCUUCUAGUGUAGAUGGGCCCCGAUUUUCUAUCAGCUAUGGUGAAUUGAGUGAACUCUGACAUUGUCGCGCGGAAUGAGGACGGAGGCGACAGCGCGGUCGGUGAGUCGUCGAGGGAGGAGGAGAAGAUGGAGGUGGCGGCGGCGGUGGCCGCAUUACCCAGGCUUUGCGUUUGCAAUGGUGGAUAUGUGGAAUGACAAGAGAUAUCCCUCCAAGGCCUACAAUAUUUUGGAUCGAUCUUACAUGCCCCCUCUAUUUCACAAUUUCUGUCCAAUAUAUCUUGAUUGUGCAACAUAGGCAUGUUGUCAGUUAGGUAAAGAACGACCUAGAUUGAUGUUAUCUCUUCAUGUGCAGAUGCACCUUGUAUCUGGAUGUCCAUACUCUAUCUAAACAUGCUUUUGCAUAGAUUUAUAGCAAUGCCCCACUUUUCAGCUGAUGUUUUUCUUCAUUACUCAGAUUUUUGUACAACAAUUCUUUAUUCGGACCAGUUCCAGAUAAGUUACUGAACAAGCAAGGACUGACUUACAGGGCCUAAAGUUUGAGUGCAUUGUAUUAAUAAUUUAAGUACCCCAGAACCAAUAUUGGUGCUAUCCAGCCUGCAAGCUCGUGGCUCAAGAUGAUUUUUUGAUGGUGGAAAAUAUCAUUGUUCCAAGGAUGGUUGCAUAAGCACAACUAUUGAGCAUAGAAGAGAUGUGUCAUUGCCACAGGGUUGUGUUUGUUGAACCAGUGUGUGCAGCACGUUCUUGCACCAUUGUGUUGAAGGACAUUAAGUAUAGCUCAAGCAUUAUAUAUGUUGCGAAGGAUGCCAAGUUUAGCUCA